Molecule: ribosomal RNA, 656 nt
Filed under: Trichopilus luteolamellatus
Lineage: Eukaryota; Fungi; Basidiomycota; Agaricomycetes; Agaricales; Entolomataceae
Description: partial large subunit ribosomal RNA
Rfam family: Eukaryotic large subunit ribosomal RNA
Source: RNAcentral
GCAUAUCAAUAAGCGGAGGAAAAGAAACUAACAAGGAUUCCCUCAGUAACUGCGAGUGAAGUGGGAAAAGCUCAAAUUUAAAAUUGGGUAGUUUUUUUUUGACUGCCUGACGUGUAUACUAGAGAAGCAUUAUCCGUGCUGGACCAUGUAUAAGUCUCCUGGAAUGGAGUAUCAUAGAGGGUGAGAAUCCCGUCUAUAACAUUGGACCCCCAGUACUUUGUGAUAUGCUUUCAAUGAGUCGAGUUGUUUGGGAAUGCAGCUCUAAAUGGGUGGUAAAUUCCAUCUAAAGCUAAAUAUUGGCGAGAGACCGAUAGUGAACAAGUACCGUGAGGGAAAGAUGAAAAGAACUUUGAAAAGAGAGUUAAACAGUACGUGAAAUUGUUGAAAGGGAAACGCUUGAAGUCAGUUGCAUUAAUUAAGGAUCAACCUCGCUGCUUUUGCUUGGUGCAUUUCUUGGUUGAUGGGUCAGCAUCAAUUUUAAUCAGUGGAAAAAGAUGGAAGGGAAUGUGACAUCUUUUGAUGUGUUUAUAGCCCUCUAUUGUAUACAUUGAUUAGGAUUGAGGAAUUCAGCAUGCCGCAAGGCCGGGUUUUAACCACGUUCAUGCUUAGGAUGCUGGCAUAAUGGCUUUAAUCGACCCGUCUUGAAACACGGACCA